ACUCAAAUGAAUUGACGGGGGCCCGCACAAGCGGAGGAACAUGUGGUUUAAUUCGAUGAUACGCGAGGAACCUUACCCGGGCUUGAAUUGCAUUUGAAUGUAUGGGAAACUGUACAGCCAGCAAUGGCAAAUGUGAAGGUGCUGCAUGGUUGUCGUCAGCUCGUGCCGUGAGGUGUCGGCUUAAGUGCCAUAACGAGCGCAACCCUCAUCAUUAGUUACUAACAGGUCAUGCUGAGGACUCUAAUGAGACUGCCAGCGUAAGCUGUGAGGAAGGUGGGGAUGACGUCAAAUCAGCACGGCCCUUACGUCCGGGGCGACACACGUGUUACAAUGGGGGGGACAGCAGGCUGCCACUGGGUGACCAGGAGCCAAUCCCUAAACCCCCUCUCAGUUCGGAUCGAAGUCUGCAACCCGACUUCGUGAAGCUGGAUUCGCUAGUAAUCGCGCAUCAGCCAUGGCGCGGUGAAUACGUUCCCGGGCCUUGCACACACCGCCCGU
RNAcentral lists this ribosomal RNA (498 nucleotides) under uncultured bacterium. Its description in RNAcentral is "partial 16S ribosomal RNA". It matches the Rfam family "Bacterial small subunit ribosomal RNA", at positions 899 to 1397 of the family's 1533-position model. The record is from RNAcentral.